CAAUAAGCAAAAUAAGGGCGUAUGGGGGAUGCCUUGGCUCUCAGAGGCGAUGAAAGGCGUGAUAAGCUGCGAAAAGUUACGGGGAUCGGCACACACGACUUGAUCCGUAAAUACCUGAAUGGGGCAACCCACUAUGUUGAAGACAUAGUACACCGAUAGGUGGGCAAACCCGCUGAACUGAAACAUCUAAGUAGGCGGAGGAGAAGAAAACAAAAGUGAUUCCGUAAGUAGUGGCGAGCGAACGCGGAUUAGCCCAAACCAAUGUUGUUACGGCAAUGUUGGGGUUGUAGGACCACGACAUUUCUUGCACAAAGAAUUAGAAUCUACUGGAAAGUAGAACCACAGAGGGUGAUAGUCCCGUAUAGGUAAUGAGUGUAAAGGAUAGUGGUAUCCUGAGUAGGGCGGGGCACGUGAAACCCUGUCUGAAUUUGGCGGGACCAUCCGCUAAGGCUAAAUACUCCUGAGAGACCGAUAGUGAACCAGUACCGUGAGGGAAAGGUGAAAAGAACCGUGAAUAACGGAGUGAAAUAGAUCCUGAAACCAUACGCUUACAAGCGGUCGGAGCCCUUUCGUGGGGUGACGGCGUGCCUUUUGCAUAAUGAGCCUACGAGUUAACGUUGCUGGCAAGGAUAAGUGGUUAAGCCACGGAUCCGUAGCGAAAGCGAGUCUGAAUAGGGCGCUUUAGUCAGUAGUGUUAGACGCGAAACCGUGUGAUCUACCCAUGGGCAGGUUGAAGCUGUGGUAACACACAGUGGAGGACCGAACCGGUUGACGUUGAAAAGUCUUCGGAUGACCUGUGGGUAGGGGUGAAAGGCCAAUCAAACUCGGAAAUAGCUCGUACUCCCCGAAAUGCAUUUAGGUGCAGCGUUGUGCAUAAAGUUAUAUAGAGGUAGAGCUACUGAUUGGAUGCGGGGGCUUCACCGCCUACCAAUUCCUGACAAACUCCGAAUGCUAUAUAAUGUUUCACAACAGUGAGGGCUUGGGUGCUAAGGUCCAAGUCCGAGAGGGAAAGAACCCAGACCAUCAGCUAAGGUCCCCAAAUAUAUGUUAAGUUGAAAGAACGAGGUUUGUCUGCCCAGACAGCUAGGAUGUUGGCUUGGAAGCAGCCAUUCAUUUAAAGAGUGCGUAACAGCUCACUAGUCGAGCGGACGAGCAUGGAUAAUAAUCGGGCAUAAACAUAUUACCGAAGCUAUGGAUUUU
Molecule: non-coding RNA, 1200 nt
Organism: Flavobacterium sp. KMS
Lineage: Bacteria; Pseudomonadati; Bacteroidota; Flavobacteriia; Flavobacteriales; Flavobacteriaceae
Source: Rfam